UAUGUUUGGAACUUAGAAGUCCUUGAUGUUCUUUCAGAGUGCAGCCAUGUUUGAACACGAUGUUCAAAAAAGCCGCCACUGAGCCCUGGAUGGCGAANNNNGCCCCGCCACUGAGCCAUGGAUGGCGAAUUGGCGGCGAUGGCGGACAUAGAGAAAAAGAAAAUUAAGAACAUCUAGUACUUCUUAGUUUCAAUACAU
Molecule: non-coding RNA, 198 nt
Organism: Clostridium sp. CAG:127
Lineage: Bacteria; Bacillati; Bacillota; Clostridia; Eubacteriales; Clostridiaceae
Source: Rfam